RNAcentral lists this ribosomal RNA (492 nucleotides) under uncultured bacterium. RNAcentral's name for it is "partial 16S ribosomal RNA". It matches the Rfam family "Bacterial small subunit ribosomal RNA", at positions 29 to 507 of the family's 1533-position model. The record is from RNAcentral.
AGUGAACGCUGGCGGUAGGCCUAACACAUGCAAGUCGAACGGCAGCACAGUAAGAGCUUGCUCUUACGGGUGGCGAGUGGCGGACGGGUGAGGAAUACAUCGGAAUCUACUUUUUCGUGGGGGUUAACGUAGGGAAACUUACGCUAAUACCGCAUACGACCUACGGGUGAAAGCAUGGGAUCUUCGGACCUUGCGCGAUUGAAUGAGCCGCUGUCGGAUUAGCUAGUUGGCGGGGUAAAGGCCCACCAAGGCGGCGAUCCGUAGCUGGUCUGAGAGGAUGAUCGGCCACAUUGGAACGGAGACACGGUCCAGACUCCUACGGGAGGCAGCAGUGGGGAAUAUUGGACAAUGGGCGCAAGCCUGAUCCAGCCAUACCGCGUGGGUGAAGAAGGCCUUCGGGUUGUAAAGCCCUUUUGUUGGGAAAGAAAAGCAGCAGGUUAAUACCCCGCUGUUCUGACGGUACCCAAAGAAUAAGCACCGGCUAACUUCGUG